Molecule: ribosomal RNA, 446 nt
Filed under: uncultured bacterium
Lineage: Bacteria
Description: partial 16S ribosomal RNA
Rfam family: Bacterial small subunit ribosomal RNA
Source: RNAcentral
CCUACGGGUGGCAGCAGUCGAGAAUCAUUCACAAUGGGGGAAACCCUGAUGGUGCGACGCCGCGUGGGGGAAUGAAGGUCUUCGGAUUGUAAACCCCUGUCAUGUGGGAGCAAAUUAAAAAGAUAGUACCACAAGAGGAAGAGACGGCUAACGCUGUGCCAGCAGCCGCGGGAAUACAGAGGUCUCAAGCGUUGUUCGGAAUCACUGGGCGUAAAGCGUGCGUAGGCUGUUUCGUAAGCCGUGUGUGAAAGGCGCGGGCUCAACCCGCGGACGGCACAUGAUACUGCGAGACUAGAGUAAUGGAGGGGGAACCGGAAUUCUCGGUGUAGCAGUGAAAUGCGUAGAUAUCGAGAGGAACACUCGUGGCGAAGGCGGGUUCCUGGACAUUAACUGACGCUGAGGCACGAAGGCCAGGGGAGCGAAAGGGAUUAGAUACCCGGGUAGUC